CUCGACUACUAAUGGUAGGCGCUUCCUUCUUUGAUCGAGUAAAGAUCGAAUUAUUUGUGUCUUCUUCAUGUUGGGUUCCCACAUAAAAAACUUAAACAAAAUGCAAUAUAAAAAAUCUACUAUUAAUCCUACUCCUACAAGGUCUGAAUUCAAAAAUUAAUACAAGUCUUUUAUAAAUAAAAAUAAAAAUGUUCAAUCUCCUUCCUCAAAGUCUAUCUCCUCACUUCCAUCCUCCUCCUCAUCCUCUCCUUCCUCUUCGCUUUCAGGC
RNAcentral lists this long non-coding RNA (268 nucleotides) under Gossypium raimondii (Peruvian cotton). Its description in RNAcentral is "long non-coding RNA (GRAI_LNC001280)". The record is from RNAcentral. Lineage: Eukaryota; Viridiplantae; Streptophyta; Magnoliopsida; Malvales; Malvaceae.